UACGGAGGGUGCGAGCGUUGUCCGGAAUCACUGGGCGUAAAGGGCGCGUAGGCGGCCUGAUAAGUAGGGGGUGAAAUCCUGCGGCUUAACCGCAGGGCUGCCUUCUAAACUGUCAGGCUCGAGCACAGUAGAGGCAGGUGGAAUUCCCGGUGUAGCGGUGGAAUGCGUAGAGAUCGGGAAGAACAUCGGUGGCGAAGGCGGCCUGCUGGGCAGUUGCUGACACUGAGGCGCGACAGCGUGGGGAGCAAACAGG
This 253-nucleotide ribosomal RNA is filed under the name uncultured bacterium. RNAcentral describes it as "partial 16S ribosomal RNA". It matches the Rfam family "Bacterial small subunit ribosomal RNA", at positions 524 to 776 of the family's 1533-position model. The record is from RNAcentral.